AGCGAACGCUGGCGGCAGGCCUAACACAUGCAAGUCGAGCGCUCGUAGCAAUACGAGAGCGGCAGACGGGAGAGUAACACGUGGGAACGUGCCCUUCGGUUCGGAAUAACUCAGGGAAACUUGAGCUAAUACCGGAUACGCCUUACGGGAAAGACUUAUUGCGAAGGAGCGCCGCGUCUGAUUAGCUAGUUGGUGAGGUAACGGCUCACCAAGGCGACGAUC
Molecule: ribosomal RNA, 222 nt
Filed under: uncultured bacterium
Lineage: Bacteria
Description: partial 16S ribosomal RNA
Rfam family: Bacterial small subunit ribosomal RNA
Source: RNAcentral